GAUGAACGCUAGCUACAGGCUUAACACAUGCAAGUCGGGGGGAAACGGCAUUGAGUGCUUGCACUCUUUGGACGUCGACCGGCGCACGGGUGAGUAACGCGUAUCCAACCUUCCCAUUACUGUGGGAUAACCUGCCGAAAGGCAGACUAAUACCGCAUAGUCUUCGAUGACGGCAUCAGAUUUGAAGUAAAGAUUUAUCGGUAAUGGAUGGGGAUGCGUCUGAUUAGCUUGUUGGCGGGGUAACGGCCCACCAAGGCUACGAUCAGUAGGGGUUCUGAGAGGAGGGCCCCCCACAUUGGAACGGAAACACGGCCAAAACUCCUAGGGGAGGAAGCAGGGAGAAAUUUGGGUAAAGGGACGGAAGUCUGAACCGCCCAAUUGGGGGGAAGGAUGCCGGCUCUUGGGUUUGUAACCUGUUUUUGUAGGGGAAAAAGGUUAGGGCCUUGUCCCUUUUGGAGGGACCCAAACAAAAAAGGCCCGCCUAUUCCCGGC
This 492-nucleotide ribosomal RNA is filed under the name uncultured bacterium. Its description in RNAcentral is "partial 16S ribosomal RNA". It matches the Rfam family "Bacterial small subunit ribosomal RNA", at positions 28 to 508 of the family's 1533-position model. The record is from RNAcentral.